Molecule: non-coding RNA, 322 nt
Organism: Drosophila melanogaster (fruit fly)
Lineage: Eukaryota; Metazoa; Arthropoda; Insecta; Diptera; Drosophilidae
Source: Ensembl
GGUCCGAUAUGUUCUUGAAACCCAACUACCAAACAUACAUAGCUCACACUCCACCCUGGCUGGAAAAACAUUGGGCUAGAUUAGAGAUAUCGUGCCCUGUAGCUCCACCUCCUGGAAUCAAACUUCUGGCUCUCGCACUUCUCACAUGGCCCAGGCAGCGCUUCAGGAACCGAGUUAGAAGAGACAGGACUACUAACUGAAAGCUAAAUGGAGCUCAGAAUCUGAGGUCGCAAAUCUGCGAAAUCUGCUGGACAUUCGACUCUGGUGUAGGGACGCGAAUUUCAUCAUUUCUCUGGCAUAUAUAUAUGUAUAUAGAUAUUGG